UGAACGGCCUUCCUACCCAUGUCUGUCACCCAGUCCCUUCCACAGAGACAACUGUGACCUUUUUAAAUGGGUACACCAUAAUGACUUCUGGAAAGCUCCAGAGAUAUAUGAUAUGCUUCUCAAGUGGAUGCAGGUGGAAACAGAAAGAGAAAGUUCCAAGUGCAAAGGUCCAAAAUGGCCAAGGACAGAGGGCUUGUCUUGGCUGUACAGGCGGCGUGAGGGUAGAUGGGUGGUACCUCGUAUCUUGAGGCGUUGUCUUUCCCUGGAUUCCAGAGCAGCUGUCGCGCCUGUGCCCUCAGGAGUGCCCUCACAUUGUCUUUCAAGCCAUCUCUGGGCCCCUGGCUGCAGCCACUGCCUCCGUCCUCACCAAUCC
RNAcentral lists this long non-coding RNA (373 nucleotides) under Rattus norvegicus (Norway rat). RNAcentral describes it as "long non-coding RNA NONRATT016562". Lineage: Eukaryota; Metazoa; Chordata; Mammalia; Rodentia; Muridae. The record is from RNAcentral.